This 646-nucleotide ribosomal RNA is filed under the name uncultured Actinomyces sp. RNAcentral describes it as "bacterial SSU rRNA". It matches the Rfam family "Bacterial small subunit ribosomal RNA", at positions 77 to 733 of the family's 1533-position model. Lineage: Bacteria; Bacillati; Actinomycetota; Actinomycetes; Actinomycetales; Actinomycetaceae. The record is from RNAcentral.
CUUGCUGGGCUGGAUGAGUGGCGAACGGGUGAGUAACACGUGAGUAACCUGCCCUCUUCUUUGGGAUAACGGUCGGAAACGGCUGCUAAUACCGGGUAUUCACUGUCCUUCGCAUGGGGGGUGGUGGAAAGGUUUUUUCUGGUGGGGGAUGGGCUCGCGGCCUAUCAGCUUGUUGGUGGGGUGAUGGCUUACCAAGGCUUUGACGGGUAACCGGCCUGAGAGGGUGACCGGUCACAUUGGGACUGAGAUACGGCCCAGACUCCUACGGGAGGCAGCAGUGGGGAAUAUUGCACAAUGGGCGAAAGCCUGAUGCAGCGACGCCGCGUGAGGGAUGAAGGCCUUCGGGUUGUAAACCUCUUUCGCUCAUGGUCAAGCCGCAACUUUGGGUUGUGGUGAGGGUAGUGGGUAAAGAAGCACCGGCUAACUACUUGCCAGCAGCCGCGGUAAUACUUAGGGUGCCCCCUUGUCCCGACUUAUUGGGGUGAGGGUUGUACGCAGUUUGUCACGUCUGCCCGAAAUCCGCUGCCUUAACUGGAGGCGUGCGAUUUGACGGCCAAAUUGAAUGCGUAGGGGAGACUGGAACUUCUGUUGUAUCGGAUAAUACUCAAAUAUCGGGCAACUAACCGUGGCAAUGCGUAUCUCUGUG